Molecule: small RNA, 80 nt
Filed under: Flavobacterium gillisiae
Lineage: Bacteria; Pseudomonadati; Bacteroidota; Flavobacteriia; Flavobacteriales; Flavobacteriaceae
Description: Flavo-1 RNA
Rfam family: Flavo-1 RNA
Source: RNAcentral
CUUUAGCCCCGAUUGAAGUGGAAAUCCUUUUUAUUUUUUCUUUAAAAAUAAAAAGAUUGUAACGGAAAGCGGGAAAUAGC